CUUCACUCAACGAGCAGAGCAUCCAACAUGGCGCUGCGGCCGCCUCCAGCAGUCCAGCAGGACGGCCGCUCGGAAAACUUCGGUCCUUUCCGGAAUAGCUCGGCAGACCGAGGGUGGGAAGCCCCUUCGGCUCUUUUCGGAGCUGGCCAGCGUUCGGAAUUUUUCGGAAGCUCUCGGACGUGUCUUCGGCAGCAGUUCGGGGAACGCUGUGGGGCUGGUUUGGUUCCUGGGGAGAGGUCGGCGAAGGGUCUUCUCAGGAUCGUCUCGGCGAGUGUGGGGCGGAGGGAGAGAUCAAAGGCGAGGUCUGGCCAGCAAGAGCCCUCCCCUCCGGCCCAGCCUGGAGGAACAAUGGCAACGGCCCGGAGCCUGAGGUCCACAGAGCCCUGCCCGCAGGGGCAGCGAGGCGAGAAACCCCGGUUCCUGUGAAAGGAACCGCUGAACCAGAGCGAAGCUGGGGAGAGGAACCUCCCGCCCCAGACGCGUUAGCACAAUCCCACUCGGCAGCCCUUGACACAGUUCACACCUAUUAUGUUGACACGCCCUCCAUCUGAGAGAUAAACAGAAUGAAUGGCCCCAUGUUCCAAAGGAGACCUAGAGAGGAAAAUGACUGGUCCAAUGUCAUCUAGCCGGGAAGGGACAGAACCAAGCCAGGAUCUGAAUUCUACCUUCAUCAGGAAGAAAGUUGCCGACUCCCAAGUUGCCUGGGGACAUGAUCUGACGAUCUUGUCUAAUCUCCAGCCUUGACCGAGGGCUCUGUGAAUCAAUUUUUCCCAAGGCCAAGGCCUACCCAGGAGGGAGCACCCUUUAGCCGGCAGCCAGUGGUCGGUUCCCAACGUCCUAUGCUGAGGUAACACCUGUUGAUAAAGUCCUUUUUCCCCAGGUGGGCCUGCCGAGAUCGCUGCCACUGGCUCACCCCAAUGCCAGGGGGUCCCUAGUCCAAGCACACAGCAUUGAAUGAAAAGGAGUCACAGGCAGCACGGAGCAAUCCAGGGUUUGGCAGUCAUCUCCCUUCUUCCCUGCUCUCAUCUCCCACUGAAAUGCAGACAUUGAAGACGACCCUUGAUGCUCACCUUUUAUGACAGCUAAUAAGUGGUAUUAAGAGUCCAGGUUCCUCAGCUGGAUCACAUCUGGUUUUUGCCAAUCUUGACACCCCAGUUUCCACCAUUUCUGUACCAACAUGAACCCUGAACAGCCACGCACUUUCAUGUCUCCAUGGCUUUCCAUGUACUAUCCCCUUCCUCCUGGAGUGUCUCCUGCUCCUGGAUUGCCUAGAAGCUCCUAUUCAUCCCUCAAAACCUAUCAUCUUAUGGGACAGACUUUCCUCAGUUCCUCUCUUCCUCCUCUAGAUAGAUUUCAUUGCUCCCUCCCAAACCAGGUAUAAUCCCAGUACUCUGGGAGGCUGGGGCAAGAGGAGCCCAAAUUCCAGCCUAGACCAAGAGAGUAUGUAAAGGUGCAUAUCUCCAAUGAUGAAUGUCAUUAUAUUAUACACCUAAAAUGUACCAAUAAAAGGAUAUACAAAAAAAAGAGAGAGAAUCCCUGGGCCCCCUGCUCAAGGAAGACCCAGUAGGAAAUUUGUUCCCAAGGAUUCUUUCCACUCUGCUCAUCCAUCAAGGCUCUCAGAGAUUGCUGCAGCCAGGGUCCAAG
This 1644-nucleotide long non-coding RNA is filed under the name Heterocephalus glaber (naked mole-rat). RNAcentral's name for it is "lncRNA (ENSHGLG00100050216.1)". The record is from RNAcentral. Lineage: Eukaryota; Metazoa; Chordata; Mammalia; Rodentia; Bathyergidae.